Molecule: long non-coding RNA, 297 nt
Organism: Prionailurus viverrinus (fishing cat)
Lineage: Eukaryota; Metazoa; Chordata; Mammalia; Carnivora; Felidae
Exons: 3
Source: RefSeq, a predicted model, not a curated record
CCUGCUCGCAGCGGCAGCCGCAGGUCUCGGGGGAGAAGGUCCCGUGGCCGCUGCAGUGGCCGUUGGCACCUGCCGGCGAGAGGAAGAAACUUUGGACGUGCAGGCUCCUCGGCAAUCCCGUGCUGUUUCAUUCUCGGCAGUGUCCCUGGUGCCUAGUUCUGCGUCUGGUACAUAGGAGGCGCUCUCAACGGUAGCACUUCCUCCAGCAUGAACAGCUUCUUCACUCGGGCCAGGAGGGCUUGGACGCUGCCUGCCAGCUCACAGUCCUUCUGUGGCGUCUGCAGGCGGAUGUUGUGC